CAGUAGCCGCGGUAAUACGAAGGGUGCAAGCGUUACUCGGAAUUACUGGGCGUAAAGCGUGCGUAGGUGGUGGUUUAAGUCCGUUGUGAAAGCCCUGGGCUCAACCUGGGAAUUGCAGUGGAUACUGGGUCACUAGAGUGUGGUAGAGGAUAGUGGAAUUUCCGGUGUAGCAGUGAAAUGCGUAGAGAUCGGAAGGAACAUCUGUGGCGAAGGCGACUAUCUGGGCCAACACUGACACUGAGGCACGAAAGCGUGGGGAGCAAACAGGAUUAGAUACCCCUGUAGUCCCAGUCUCUUAUAC
This 301-nucleotide ribosomal RNA is filed under the name uncultured bacterium. RNAcentral describes it as "partial 16S ribosomal RNA". It matches the Rfam family "Bacterial small subunit ribosomal RNA", at positions 509 to 807 of the family's 1533-position model. The record is from RNAcentral.